CUAUACAUGACUCUGGGCAUAUCAAUAAGCGGAGGAAAAGAAACUAACAAGGAUUCCCCUAGUAACGGCGAGUGAAGCGGGAAGAGCUCAAAUUUGAAAUCUUAAAGGGUUUCCCUUUACGAAUUGUAGUUUAAAGAAGUGUUUUCUGUUGGAGUUUCGGUAAAAGUUCUUUGGAAUAGGACAUCAUAGAGGGUGAGAAUCCCGUAUUUGACCGUUACUUUCCAGCUGUGUGAUACACUUUCAAAGAGUCGGAUUGUUUGGGAAUGCAGUCCUAAAUGGGUGGUAAAUUUCAUCUAAAGCUAAAUAUUGGCGAGAGACCGAUAGCGAACAAGUACCGUGAGGGAAAGAUGAAAAGAACUUUGAAAAGAGAGUUAAACAGUACGUGAAAUUGUCAAAAGGGAAGCGUUUGACACCAGUGUUGUUUAGUUGAAAAUCAAUUCAAUAAUUUUUGAUUUUAAGUAGUAUUGACUUCAUCAGCUUGCUGCUUUCUUUUCAGGAAUUAUUGAAUGCACUUUUCGGUUAACAAGUCAACAUCAAUUUCUUUUGUUGUAAAAGGGUAAGAGGAAGGUGGCUUACGCUUCGGCGUAAGUGUUUAUAGCCUUUUACCUCUGCAAUCGGAGAGAUUGAGGACAGCAGCGUAGACUCUUCGGGGUUAGAUACACUUGUGCUAAGCUAUAGCCUUGUAUAGACAACUUGUUGACUAUGCUCAGUCAUGUAGCUUACUCGCUUGUGCUAUUUUACCUACGCUUAGGAUGUUGAUAGUCACAGCGUGUAC
This 775-nucleotide ribosomal RNA is filed under the name uncultured Neocallimastigales. RNAcentral describes it as "partial large subunit ribosomal RNA". It matches the Rfam family "Eukaryotic large subunit ribosomal RNA", at positions 22 to 610 of the family's 3401-position model. The record is from RNAcentral. Lineage: Eukaryota; Fungi; Neocallimastigomycota; Neocallimastigomycetes; Neocallimastigales.